AUUUCUAGGCUGGCCUUCUACUCUUCAAGAUCCUCAGGAGGAGGGUUUGUCAUGAUGGAGGCUGGUACAUCCUUUCUCCUGGAUGAAGUUUGUUGCAAAGCCAAGCUUGAUUAAGAAGCACUUGGAGAAGAGACAUAGAAAAGCUGCAGUCAUGCUAUCAGUCUGUUUUAAGGCCAGUUGGAAUGAAGUCAUGCAAUGGAUUCAGUUUGGCUGGGUGAAAAAAACAUCCCAUAUUUGCAUUGUUAUAGUCCUUCAUCAUUCACAUUUGAUCUAUCUGGCAUUUGAUACAAGAUACAGGCACGGACAAUUUGCCUCAAACUGCUACAAUGUUUACAGAAGAGAGAUCAUCCAAGAUAGUAAGUGCAAUUACUUCUCCAGGAAUUGAAUUUGUGGUUCAGAAUACAAGAAAGGCUUACAGGUUGAACAUUUAUUUCAGGUUUGUAAGAUGAAACCUUAUGCUUUAUAUGUUUCGCAUCCUAGACUAAGGCAUCAAAUACACAGCUUUUAGUUAUAAUUCUUCUUACAAAUCCCUUCUCCUAGUGAACUGUCUACAUUCACAGUGUGUUCUUUGACAGCUGUUUUCAUUUUGUAUUAUGCUUGUGUUAUGACCCAUCCUUGAAGGUGAGGUAACUGAGGUUCUUGUUAAUAAUCCAUCCCUUGGGGAGUGGAUUAGAGUAAAAUGACACUGAAUGACCAGUGUUUAUAAAAAUAAAUAAAUAAAUAAAUAUGCCA
This 732-nucleotide long non-coding RNA is filed under the name Lonchura striata (white-rumped munia). Its description in RNAcentral is "domestica (Bengalese finch) lncRNA (ENSLSDG00000004517.1)". The record is from RNAcentral. Lineage: Eukaryota; Metazoa; Chordata; Aves; Passeriformes; Estrildidae.